Molecule: ribosomal RNA, 265 nt
Filed under: uncultured bacterium
Lineage: Bacteria
Description: partial 16S ribosomal RNA
Rfam family: Bacterial small subunit ribosomal RNA
Source: RNAcentral
ACAAUGGCAGGUACAGCGGGAAGCCAUAUGGCGACAUAGAGCGGAACCCGAAAACCUGUCUCAGUUCGGAUUGGAGUCUGCAACCCGACUCCAUGGAGCUGGAUUCGCUAGUAAUCGCGCAUCAGCCACGGCGCGGUGAAUACGUUCCCGGGCCUUGUACACACCGCCCGUCAAGCCAUGGGAGCCGGGGGUACCUGAAGUGCGUGACCGCAAGGAGCGCCCUAAGGUAAAACCGGUGACUGGGGCUAAGUCGUAACAAGGUAAC